GACGAACGCUGGCGGCGUGCUUAACACAUGCAAGUCGAACGCUGAAGCUUGGUGCUUGCACUGGGUGGAUGAGUGGCGAACGGGUGAGUAAUACGUGAGUAACCUGCCCUUGACUCUGGGAUAAGCCUGGGAAACUGGGUCUAAUACUGGAUACGACAUGUCACCGCAUGGUGGUGUGUGGAAAGGGUUUUACUGGUUUUGGAUGGGCUCACGGCCUAUCAGCUUGUUGGUGGGGUAAUGGCUCACCAAGGCGACGACGGGUAGCCGGCCUGAGAGGGUGACCGGCCACACUGGGACUGAGACACGGCCCAGACUCCUACGGGAGGCAGCAGUAGGGAAUAUUGCACAAUGGGCGGAAGCCUGAUGCAGCGACGCCGCGUGAGGGAUGACGGCCUUCGGGUUGUAAACCUCUUUCAGCACGGAAGAAGCGAAAGUGACGGUACGUGCAGAAGAAGCGCCGGCUAACUACGUG
This 472-nucleotide ribosomal RNA is filed under the name uncultured bacterium. RNAcentral describes it as "partial 16S ribosomal RNA". It matches the Rfam family "Bacterial small subunit ribosomal RNA", at positions 28 to 507 of the family's 1533-position model. The record is from RNAcentral.